RNAcentral lists this unclassified non-coding RNA (800 nucleotides) under Colletotrichum aenigma. RNAcentral's name for it is "partial Apn2-Mat1-2 intergenic spacer". Lineage: Eukaryota; Fungi; Ascomycota; Sordariomycetes; Glomerellales; Glomerellaceae. The record is from RNAcentral.
GAGGCCGCCUCCUACCCGAGAGCGACAAAACCAUCAGCGCGCCGACUUGUCGGCUCCAGACGGAGGAGUAUGAGUUAUACCUACCGACUGCGACAAGUCGCUGUAGUAUCAGUCAUGGAACGGAAUAGAUAUCGGCGCUGCCAGACCACCUUAGGUCGUCCUUGUGUUCUAGACUGGCAGCAUCAGCGACCAGAGGAGCCUCAGGACAUGGCGCCUUUGGAGGCUGUCUUCGAUCUCUAUCCAGUCAGCGUGACCCAGGAGGCGACCACGCAUCUGGUCGUCGAUUCACUUCCCGCAUGCUGUGGCAAGAGUUACCUGCGCGAGAAACCAACAGACCUUUGUGCGGCGAUACUUAGACGUACGAACGCUAGGAGAUCACCGGAUCUGAGGAACCAAGAAUCAUCCUGGACCAUCUGCUUCGAUGGCAACGCGAAGCAGAGAUCUUCGAUUUGAUGAACAUAUUGGUGCAAAAAUGUACUCACAACCCAUGUAUUCGCAUGUCAAGCGAACACGAAUCUUUUUCUGUAAUUAUAAUCUGCAAGCCAGUAAAUAUCAUCUUCAUGGACCAUCUAUUCCAGCCCGAUACCUAGAGUGUCUUUUGCCCCCCGCCAUGAGGACCAUUGAUUCGCCCACAUGUUGCUCUUCGCCACUGCAGACUGCCAACGCCAUCCAUGAUGCCCAGCCACUGUCUCGACUGCGCAUCACGGGAAUAACUACGCCUGAUCUUUUUUCCAGUCGCUGCUCCAGAUGAACGUCCCGCAUCUCCACUCCGUCCCCGAUUCUUAUCCCCAUCCCACCGC